UCCAGACAGAGCGCGAGCGGGUCAUCCACCGGAAGUGACUUUUCAUCAUCGUCCUUUGCUGUUUAUCCCGGAGUUACCAAGGGUUUUCCAUGAGAGGAAUAAACCUGGCUGUUUCCACCAUCUACCAGCUCCAAGAGGUUCAUUAGAGCAGAGGACAUUACCCACAGGUUUGCUGAUGAAUAAUGAUGUUCAGCUGUGGGGGAAAAGGCAUCGCCUGGAGGUGGAUGUGAGCCUUUAAAGUAAGCAGUCAUAGUUGCCUGUGCCAUUUGCCUC
This is a long non-coding RNA of Epinephelus fuscoguttatus (brown-marbled grouper), 273 nucleotides long. RefSeq lists it as uncharacterized. The record is from RefSeq and is a predicted model, not a curated record. The transcript is spliced from 3 exons. Lineage: Eukaryota; Metazoa; Chordata; Actinopteri; Perciformes; Serranidae.